RNAcentral lists this long non-coding RNA (232 nucleotides) under Setaria italica (foxtail millet). RNAcentral's name for it is "long non-coding RNA (SITA_LNC005755)". The record is from RNAcentral. Lineage: Eukaryota; Viridiplantae; Streptophyta; Magnoliopsida; Poales; Poaceae.
UCGGAGUCAACAUGUUCAUCGCACCCGAGUUCGAGUUGGAUUCGAGUAAGAAAGCCUUGGUGAACUUCGGCUGCAUUGCGGAGUCCGUGCGGGAACCGCUUUGAAGUCGAAACCGACUUGGGAGUCGAUUGGGACCGAUUAGUCCGAAGCAAAGUUGAGUCCGACGUGUGGUCGAACUCGAAAUUUUCAACUUUGAAAUCUUGGUUUUUUCUGGCCCGAUCUUCUGCUUUCU